GGCAGAUACAACAGAAGGCAUUUACACUCACUGCCGUCUCACAGCGCUGGGUGAGGAGGUCUGUCCCGGGCUGGCUGGCUCUGCUUUGCAUUAGGAAAGCGAAGCUGUGGGGAAGGGUGCUGUGCAGCAGUGCUGUGCAGCUCUCCCUGUGCUGCUGCUGGCAUGGAGGGAUGCUGCUGGCACGGCUGUCCCUGCUGGCUGCGGAGGGAUGGAGAGCCGGUGCUUUGGGUAUGAAACCUCGC
Molecule: long non-coding RNA, 242 nt
Filed under: Gallus gallus (chicken)
Lineage: Eukaryota; Metazoa; Chordata; Aves; Galliformes; Phasianidae
Description: long non-coding RNA NONGGAT009095
Source: RNAcentral